This 253-nucleotide ribosomal RNA is filed under the name uncultured bacterium. RNAcentral's name for it is "partial 16S ribosomal RNA". It matches the Rfam family "Bacterial small subunit ribosomal RNA", at positions 524 to 776 of the family's 1533-position model. The record is from RNAcentral.
UACAGAGGGGGCAAGCGUUGUUCGGAAUUACUGGGCGUAAAGGGCGCGUAGGUGGCCCGCUAAGUCGAACGUGAAAUCCCCGAGCUCAACUCGGGAACUGCGUCCGAUACUGGCGGGCUUGAAUCCGGGAGAGGGAUGCGGAAUUCCAGGUGUAGCGGUGAAAUGCGUAGAUAUCUGGAGGAACACCGGUGGCGAAGGCGGCAUCCUGGACCGGCAUUGACGCUGAGGCGCGAAAGCGUGGGGAGCGAACAGG